RNAcentral lists this transfer RNA (104 nucleotides) under Klebsormidium nitens. It matches the Rfam family "tRNA". From Rfam's summary of the family: Transfer RNA (tRNA) molecules are approximately 80 nucleotides in length. Their secondary structure includes four short double-helical elements and three loops (D, anti-codon, and T loops). The record is from Rfam by way of RNAcentral. Lineage: Eukaryota; Viridiplantae; Streptophyta; Klebsormidiophyceae; Klebsormidiales; Klebsormidiaceae.
GCCGGGGUAGCUCAGUUGGUAGAGCGCAAGGCUCUUACUGACAUCCGUUCUGCGGACGUCUACAGCACACCUUGUGGUCGAGGGUUCGAGCCCCUCCUCCGGCG